Nematostella vectensis (starlet sea anemone) is the source of this 313-nucleotide long non-coding RNA. RefSeq lists it as uncharacterized. The record is from RefSeq and is a predicted model, not a curated record. Lineage: Eukaryota; Metazoa; Cnidaria; Anthozoa; Actiniaria; Edwardsiidae. The transcript has 2 exons.
GCACUUGCCUUGUGUUUCCGAUAAUGGUUGAAAGCGCCUCGAUUUAUACCGCGAAUACGAUGGAGAUAUCAAAGAAUUAUUUGCAAUGUCCAGUCCAGAACUUUAACUAUGAUUUCAAAUUAUUGCCCAAGAAAUAAAACAAAAGUUGAUUGCUACAUCACAGCCACAGAGGAGACACAGAGAUUCUUUAGAAAUCAGUGGGCUUCAGUGAAUACUGCAGUGUACUUACAUGCAGAAGCUAUUGUUAGGGAGAAGCAGGAAAUCAUAAAUUCUGUAUAGUUCACUAUAUGUUAAUACAUGAGCAGUAAUCUUU